UACGGAGGGUGCUAGCGUUGUUCGGAAUCACUGGGCGUAAAGCGCGUGUAGGCGGCCUGUUAAGUCUGAUGUGAAAGCCCGGGGCUCACCCCCGGAAGUGCAUUGGAAACUGCCAGGCUCGAGUCCCGGAGAGGAGGGUGGAAUUCCUGGUGUAGCGGUGAAAUGCGCAGAUAUCAGGAGGAACACCGGUGGCGAAGGCGGUUCUCUGGGCCUGUACUGACGCUGAGGAACGAAAGCGUGGGGAGCGAACAGG
RNAcentral lists this ribosomal RNA (253 nucleotides) under uncultured bacterium. RNAcentral's name for it is "partial 16S ribosomal RNA". It matches the Rfam family "Bacterial small subunit ribosomal RNA", at positions 524 to 776 of the family's 1533-position model. The record is from RNAcentral.